AGUGAACGCUGGCGGUAGGCCUAACACAUGCAAGUCGAACGGCAGCACAGUAAGAGCUUGCCCUUACGGGUGGCGAGUGGCGGACGGGUGAGGAAUACAUCGGAAUCUACUUUUUCGUGGGGGAUAACGUAGGGAAACUUACGCUAAUACCGCAUACGACCUACGGGUGAAAGCAGGGGAUCUUCGGACCUUGCGCGAUUGAAUGAGCCGAUGUCGGAUUAGCUAGUUGGCGGGGUAAAGGCCCACCAAGGCGACGAUCCGUAGCUGGUCUGAUAGGAUGAUCAGCCACACUGGAACUGAGACACGGUCCAGACUCCUACGGGAGGCAGCAGUGGGGAAUAUUGGACAAUGGGCGCAAGCCUGAUCCAGCCAUACCGCGUGGGUGAAGAAGGCCUUCGGGUUGUAAAGCCCUUUUGUUGGGAAAGAAAAGCAGCAGGUUAAUACCCCGCUGUUCUGACGGUACCCAAAGAAUAAGCACCGGCUAACUUCGUG
RNAcentral lists this ribosomal RNA (492 nucleotides) under uncultured bacterium. RNAcentral's name for it is "partial 16S ribosomal RNA". It matches the Rfam family "Bacterial small subunit ribosomal RNA", at positions 29 to 507 of the family's 1533-position model. The record is from RNAcentral.